Molecule: long non-coding RNA, 1253 nt
Filed under: Lynx pardinus (Iberian lynx)
Lineage: Eukaryota; Metazoa; Chordata; Mammalia; Carnivora; Felidae
Rfam family: Metastasis associated lung adenocarcinoma transcript 1 (bases 556-647)
Source: RNAcentral
GGAAGUGGCUUAAUGAUCCUGAAGGGAUUUCUUCUGAUGGUAGCUUUUAUAUUCUCAAGUAAGAUUCUAUUUUCAGUUGUGUAUAAGCAAGUUUUUUUCUUAGUGUAGGAAAAGUAUUUUUCUUUUGUAUGACUGCAAACAAGAUGCUAAGGUAUGCUUCAAAAUUGCUGUAAAUUGUGUAUUUUAAUCAUAACUGAUACAGAGGGUGGGUCUUUGUGGAUGAGGGAGGGGAAACCUUUUUUUUCUGUAGACUUUUUUCAGAUAACUUCUUCUGAGUCAUAACCAGCCUGGCAAUAUGAUGGCCUAGAUGGAGAGGGAACAGCUCCUUGGUGAAUGAUAAGUAAAGGCAGAAAAGAUUCUAUUUCAUACCUCCAUUGGGGAAAAAGCAUAACCUUGAGAUCCUUACUACUGAUGAACGCAUGGUCUGCAUAUGCAAAAAAAAAAAAAAAUUAACCAAAUGAAACUACCAAUUUAAAGUUAAUGGAAACUACCAUUUAAAAGUUCUGGCCUAUCAAGCUAUACCCACACACAAAAAUGAAUUGAUGAGAAAUAAUAUAAUGAAUUGAUGAGAAAUGCAACGAAGAUCAAGUGUCCAUCUCAAAAUGCUGCUUUUACAAAAGCAGAAUAAAGAAAUGAAAUGAAAAUAAUACUACAUUAAUCGUGGAAUAAAAGAAGCUGAAAUAAUUCAGAGUGGGAUCAAGUGGAUUGAGAGGAGGAGGCUGUGCUGUUUGCCAAUCUUUCGUUUGCCUCAGACAGGUUUCUCUUCAUUAUCAGAAGAGUUGCUUCAUUUCAUCUGGGAGCAGAAAACAGCAGGCAGCUGUUAACAGAUAAGUUUAACUUGCACCUGCAGUAUUGCAUGUUAGGGAUAAGUGCUUAUUUUAAAUAAGGGCUGUGGAUGUCUUGAGUAUUGAACAUGGCCGUUUUUCCUGAUCCCUUCCCUAGGGGAUUCCAGGAUUGUGAGGAAUUUUCCCAUCUAGCCUUUGUAAAGUUAGACAGGACUUGUACCUGUGGGCUUCCAUGAUGGGAUCGCACACCUCACUCAGGCAAGUAAUUCCUAAAAGCCUUGAGGGUGGUGCCUUUAUAUAAUAAGGCGGCGUUUUAUAAAACUAAGAAAACUUGUUUAGCAUUGAAUCGCUUAAAUCCUACAAAAGGAUAGCAUAAUGUGUUAAGAAUCGGAUGCUGUUAAUCUUGCUAAAAUUUAAUUGUGUUGUGAUGUACGUUGUGCAGAAAACAUAAAAUCGUUCAAAAUAAAA